Hydra vulgaris (swiftwater hydra) is the source of this 551-nucleotide long non-coding RNA. RefSeq lists it as uncharacterized. NCBI's taxonomy places the organism in Eukaryota, Metazoa, Cnidaria, Hydrozoa, Anthoathecata, Hydridae. The record is from RefSeq and is a predicted model, not a curated record.
CAAGCUAAAGUAAUGAAAUACUUGAUCAAACAAGAUUAAAGACUUGAAAAUAUUGAGAAAGUUCUCCUAAAUUUAAAAUCAUCCUCAGUUGGAGUAGAUAAAGAAGUAUCCCAAAUAAGCAAUUUGAAAGAUUUACAUAAUUUAGAGGAAAGAAUUGCAAAUGAAGAAGAAUUUAAUAAACUGGUCUUAUCUCUGUCUUCUGCUGGGGGUAAAGAUGUUAAAGAUGUUCUCAAGAACAUUAUGGAAAGUGUCGCUACGUACGAUGUGUUUGCCAAGUUCAAUUUUCGAGGAACUAAUCGCCUCAAAAAUAAUAAAGAGUCAAGACCUAAGAAAAGCUUUUAAAUGUCUUACUGUAUGCAAAGCUGUGUGAUGUGCAGCAAUGAAGGAUAAAAAAUUUAACAAAGAAGACGUAUUAAACUGCGUAAAAGAUAUUUUGCAAUACGCUCCAGACAAGGCCACAGGCGGAAGACGGUCUUCAACAUAAUAUUUUUUCAAUUGUUAAAAUGUAAAAAGCAAAUGAGAGGUUAACUUGUAAAUCUUGUUUUAUAUUU